RNAcentral lists this unclassified non-coding RNA (263 nucleotides) under plant metagenome. RNAcentral's name for it is "partial contains small subunit ribosomal RNA, internal transcribed spacer 1, and 5.8S ribosomal RNA". The stretch from base 1 to 54 matches the Rfam family "Eukaryotic small subunit ribosomal RNA", at positions 1778 to 1831 of the family's 1831-position model. The record is from RNAcentral.
GGAAGUAAAAGUCGUAACGAGGUUUCCGUAGGUGAACCUGCGGAAGGAUCAUUAAAGAGUAAGGGUCUUCGGGCCCGAUCUCCAACCCUUUGUUUAACUACCAUGUUGCUUUGGCGGGCCCGUCUCACGACCGCCGGAAGUUUGGCUUCGACCAAACUUCUGGCCCGUGCCCGUCAGUGGCCCCUUCAAAUUCUUGAUCAAGUAUGAUGUCUUAGUUAAAAACUUAAUAGUUAAAACUUUCAACAACGGAUCUCUUGGUUCUG